This 465-nucleotide ribosomal RNA is filed under the name Vreelandella stevensii. RNAcentral's name for it is "partial 16S ribosomal RNA". It matches the Rfam family "Bacterial small subunit ribosomal RNA", at positions 338 to 795 of the family's 1533-position model. Lineage: Bacteria; Pseudomonadati; Pseudomonadota; Gammaproteobacteria; Oceanospirillales; Halomonadaceae. The record is from RNAcentral.
CCUACGGGCGGCAGCAGUGGGGAAUAUUGGACAAUAGGGGGAACCCUGAUCCAGCCAUGCCGCGUGUGUGAAGAAGGCCCUCGGGUUGUAAAGCACUUUCAGUGAGGAAGAACGCCUGGUGGUUAAUACCCAUCAGGAAAGACAUCACCCACAGAAGAAGCACCGGCUAACUCCGUGCCAGCAGCCGCGGUAAUACGGAGGGUGCGAGCGUUAAUCGGAAUUACUGGGCGUAAAGCGCGCGUAGGUGGCUUGAUAAGCCGGUUGUGAAAGCCCCGGGCUCAACCUGGGAACGGCAUCCGGAACUGUCAAGCUAGAGUGCAGGAGAGGAAGGUAGAAUUCCCGGUGUAGCGGUGAAAUGCGUAGAGAUCGGGAGGAAUACCAGUGGCGAAGGCGGCCUUCUGGACUGACACUGACACUGAGGUGCGAAAGCGUGGGUAGCAAACAGGAUUAGAUACCCCAGUAGUC